This 71-nucleotide transfer RNA is filed under the name Cordylochernes scorpioides. RNAcentral describes it as "tRNA-Gly". It matches the Rfam family "tRNA". Rfam says of the family: Transfer RNA (tRNA) molecules are approximately 80 nucleotides in length. Lineage: Eukaryota; Metazoa; Arthropoda; Arachnida; Pseudoscorpiones; Chernetidae. The record is from RNAcentral.
GCAUCUGUGGUUCAGUGGUAAAAUGCUCGCCUGCCACGCGGGGGGCCCGGGUUCGAUUCCCGGCCGAUGCA